RNAcentral lists this small nuclear RNA (204 nucleotides) under Microcebus murinus (gray mouse lemur). Its description in RNAcentral is "U2 spliceosomal RNA (ENSMICG00000024940.3)". It matches the Rfam family "U2 spliceosomal RNA". From Rfam's summary of the family: U2 is a small nuclear RNA (snRNA) component of the spliceosome (involved in pre-mRNA splicing). Complementary binding between U2 snRNA (in an area lying towards the 5' end but 3' to hairpin I) and the branchpoint sequence (BPS) of the intron results the bulging out of an unpaired adenosine, on the BPS, which initiates a nucleophilic attack at the intronic 5' splice site, thus starting the first of two transesterification reactions that mediate splicing. The record is from Rfam by way of RNAcentral. Lineage: Eukaryota; Metazoa; Chordata; Mammalia; Primates; Cheirogaleidae.
AAUCCUCUACCUAUUGGCUAAAAACAAAUAUAGUUAUUAUCUGUUCUUAUCAGUUAAAGCAUCAGUUAAUGUGUUUCUUAUCUGUGUACAGGGCACUCAAUUAAUAUUUACAGUAUUAAUACUGGGAGAUGGAUUGGGAGCUUGCUCUAUCCACUCCAUGCCUCAGCAUAGAAUUGCAGUGUUUUCAGGAAUGGUGCAUUCCUU